AGAGUUUGAUCAUGGCUCAGAGCGAACGUUAGCGGCGGGCCUAACACAUGCAAGUCGAACGCGAAAGGGAUUCGUCCCCGGUAGCGUGGCGUCCGGGUGAGUAACACGUAGGAAAUCUUCCCUCGAGCGGGGGAUAACGUCCCGAAAGGGACGCUAAUACCGCAUAAGCCCACGUCCGCCUCGGCGGAUGAGGGAAAAGCUGGCCACUGUAUACAAGCUAGCACUUGAGGAUGAUCCUGCGGCGCAUCAGCUAGUUGGUGAGGUAAUGGUUCACCAAGGCUUAGACGCGUAGCUGGUCUGAGAGGAUGAUCAGCCACACUGGCACUGAAACACGGGCCAGACUCCUACGGGAGGCAGCAGUGGGGAAUAUUGGACAAUGGGCGCAAGCCUGAUCCAGCCACGCCGCGUGAGUGAUGAAGGCCUUCGGGUUGUAAAGCUCUGUGGGGAGGGACGAAAACGGCACUCAAGAAACGGGGUGUCCUGACGGUACCUCCUAGCAG
RNAcentral lists this ribosomal RNA (500 nucleotides) under uncultured Polyangiaceae bacterium. Its description in RNAcentral is "bacterial SSU rRNA". It matches the Rfam family "Bacterial small subunit ribosomal RNA", at positions 8 to 489 of the family's 1533-position model. Lineage: Bacteria; Pseudomonadati; Myxococcota; Polyangiales; Polyangiaceae. The record is from RNAcentral.